GUUUCUGUAGUGUAGUGGUAUCACGUUCGCUUUACACGCCGAAAGGUCCCCUGGUUCGAAAACCGGCAGACAGAAGCA
Molecule: transfer RNA, 78 nt
Filed under: Merluccius polli (Benguela hake)
Lineage: Eukaryota; Metazoa; Chordata; Actinopteri; Gadiformes; Merlucciidae
Description: tRNA-Val
Source: RNAcentral